RNAcentral lists this ribosomal RNA (1347 nucleotides) under human gut metagenome. RNAcentral describes it as "bacterial LSU rRNA". It matches the Rfam family "Bacterial large subunit ribosomal RNA", at positions 1100 to 2461 of the family's 2925-position model. The record is from RNAcentral.
GUUGGCUUAGAAGCAGCCACUCAUUUAAAGAGUGCGUAAUAGCUCACUAGUCGAGAGAUCCUGCGCCGAAAAUGUCCGGGGCUCAAACUUACCACCGAAGCUACGGGCUUGCGUAAGCAAGCGGUAGGGGAGCGUCGUAAUCGGGCUGAAGUCGUACCGUAAGGAGCGGUGGACUGAUUACGAGUGAGAAUGUUGGCAUUAGUAGCGAGAUGUAGGUGAGAAUCCUACAGGCCGAAUAUCUAAGGUUUCCUCAGGAAGGCUCGUCCGCUGAGGGUUAGUCGGGACCUAAGCCGAGGCCGAAAGGCGUAGGCGAUGGACAACAGGUUGAUAUUCCUGUACCACUACCAUCGUUAUUAUCGAGGGUGUGACGGAGAAGGAUAGUGUGUGCUAGCGAUUGGAAAUGCUAGUCUAAGCGUUUAGGGAGUUACGGUAGGCAAAUCCGCUGUAACAAUUCUGAGGCGUGAUGGGGAAGGCCAUAUAGGCCGAAGUACAUGAUUCCAUGCUUCCAAGAAAAGCAUCUAGAGAGAGAAGUAGUGCCCGUACCGCAAACCGACACAGGUAGAUGAGGAGAGAAUCCUAAGGCCGGCGGAAGAAUUGCAGUUAAGGAACUAGGCAAAUUGACCCCGUAAGUUCGCGAGAAGGGGUGCCUGCGAGAGCAGGCCGCAGAGAAUAGGCCCAAGCAACUGUUUAGCAAAAACACAGGUCUCUGCUAAAGCGCAAGCUGAUGUAUAGGGGCUGACGCCUGCCCGGUGCUGGAAGGUUAAGGGGAACACUUAGCGCAAGCGAAGGUGUGAACUUAAGCCCCAGUAAACGGCGGCCGUAACUAUAACGGUCCUAAGGUAGCGAAAUUCCUUGUCAGGUAAGUUCUGACCCGCACGAAUGGCGUAAUGAUUUGGGCACUGUCUCAACAGCCCGCCCGGCGAAAUUGUAGUACUGGUGAAGAUGCCAGUUACCCGCAACUAGACGGAAAGACCCCAUGGAGCUUUACUGCAGCUUAAUACUGAAAUUCGGUAGUACAUGUACAGGAUAGGUGGGAGACUGAGAAAUACAGGCGUCAGCUUGUAUGGAGUCGCUGUUGGGAUACCACUCUUGUACUGCUGGGUUUCUAACCUGCGGCCGUGAAUCCGGUCGGGGGACACUGUUAGGCGGGCAGUUUGACUGGGGCGGUCGCCUCCCAAAAGGUAACGGAGGCGCUCAAAGGUUCGUUCAGCACGGACGGAAAUCGUGCAAUGAGUGUAAACGCAUAAACGAGCCUAACUGCGACACCGACGGGUGGAGCAGUAACGAAAGUUGGAGUUAGUGAUCCGGUGGUAUGUGAGUGGAAAUGCCAUCGCUCAACGGAUAAAA